This 400-nucleotide unclassified non-coding RNA is filed under the name soil metagenome. RNAcentral's name for it is "partial contains 5.8S ribosomal RNA, internal transcribed spacer 2, and large subunit ribosomal RNA". The stretch from base 1 to 122 matches the Rfam family "5.8S ribosomal RNA", at positions 35 to 154 of the family's 154-position model. The record is from RNAcentral.
GAUGAAGAACGUAGCGAAAUGCGAUACUUGGUGUGAAUUGCAGAAUCCCGUGAACCAUCGAGUCUUUGAACGCAAGUUGCGCCUCAAGCCAUUAGGUUGAGGGCACGUCUGCCUGGGCGUCACAUAUCGUUGCCUGAUGCCAGUUUCCUCGUGAUGGGUGACUGUGCAGGGCGAAUGAUGGCUUCCCGUGAGCAUUGUUGCCUCAUGGUUGGUUGAAAAUUGAGUCCUUGGUAGGGAGCGCCGUGAUAGAUGGUGGUUGAGUGACGAACGAGACCCAAUCAUGUGAGACCCCCACCGAAUUUGGCCUUCAUGACCCACAUGCGUCUUUGGAACGCUCAUGACGAGACCUCAGGUCAGGCGGGGCUACCCGCUGAGUUUAAGCAUAUCAAUAAGCGGAGGA